Long non-coding RNA from Zea mays, 3601 nucleotides. RefSeq lists it as uncharacterized. The transcript has 4 exons. Lineage: Eukaryota; Viridiplantae; Streptophyta; Magnoliopsida; Poales; Poaceae. The record is from RefSeq and is a predicted model, not a curated record.
AUCUUCUCCGCGAAAGUUCGUGAAAGUAGUUCAAUCUUGAUGUGAGAUUUAUUUUAUAGAGAUAAAAGUACGAGAGUCUCCGGAAGCGGGUCUAGGAAGAACAAAGCUCAGGGAUCAGCAAGACUAGUGCUGGGAAUUGGGCCGGGUCGGGCCGGCCCGGCCCAAGCCCAUCAUACUUCGUGCCGAAUGGGUUCGGGCCAGAAAAGCCAAAAAAACUUUUGGGCCAUGCCGUGCCAGCCUGAAGUGUAAAAACAGUGGCCUAGCCCGGCCCUAAACCACGCCGUGCCUUUGUUGGGCCGUGCCGGCCCAAGCCCGACCCAUAUAUUUGACCACAUAAAAUCAAAAUAUUACAACCACAUAUAGUCCAUAAUUUACUAAAUUAAAGAUAUUAAACAAUCCUAACAUCAUUUGACCACAUAAACUCCAAAUAUCACAAUAAUAUAAAGUUGAUAACUUACUAAAUUAAAGAAACUAAACAACUUGGGCUUCAUGGGGCCGUGCCGGCCCAAGCCCGGCCCAUCGGUGCGGGCUGUGUCGGGGGUCGACGAGCCAGAAUUUGAGGCCCGACCUAGGCCCGCCUACGGACCGUGCUAGCCCGACCUGUAUUAUUUCGUGCCCGGAUCGUGCUUUGGGCUCCUGUUUUCGGGCCGUGCUCGUGCUGACCCAAAAAACUCUGCCCAUAUUCUUAGCACUAGGCAAGACUCAAGAGAGGGGCAACUGGGCAGGCAAUUCGCCCAUCUGACGUGGGAUGUAGGCAUCCGCGUUCCGCAUCACCAUAGGUCCAUAACGUCUAGCUACACCAAUCGGUUUCACCGUUUCACUUUCUCGUGCCGUCAGAGUAGAUCGCCCCGCAAACAUACAAUGCUCUUAAAGAGCAUGUGUGGAUACUCACAAACAUACAAUUCGUAUAGGACUAAAAUAUAACGCUCACAAGUACCCUGGCAAAAUGCUCGUACAUUGCUACUGUUUCCAUUUAUGCUUGAACUAGUGUGGUUAAUUUGUGGGAACUAAAGGGUCCAUCUGGAAAGUAACGGCCUGGUUGUUAGGUGAGACGUGUGGAGAAAAACAAAUGUACUCUAUGUGCUUCGCUUCGCGUGUGAUGCGCGACACACAAAACUCAUGUUUUAAAGGAGUAGAGAUAGAGAUAUUCCUCAACCCGUUUUUUGACCCCCUUGGCCCCAUGAUCUAGGAACUUUGUGAUUGUUGUCUUGUUUCUAAGGUGUCCUUUAGUUUUUGCUAAAGUAUGUAAUAUUAAGGGUUACUUGGAUACCGAGGCGUGGUUAAUUUGUGGGAACGAAACCGAACAUGCGGUUGCAUGGCAAUUGAGAUGGAGUUGUGAUUAAAUGAUUGUUUACUUGGUGAUUACUGUGGAGUUGCUAUUAAAAGCAAACUAAAGCAUUUAGCCUGCAUGUAUCCAUGAGAAAUUGCUGGAUGCUAACCGCUGUGGAUCGCAAUGUGGCACCUGAACGCGGCACCCGUCAGGGAGUUACUCAUAUCCACAAGUGCAAAGAUUGAUGGCCCCAUCUUGGUAUUUGUUUUUUAUCCGUCGCACUCGCACCAUAGAAGCUGGACCUGCAGGAGUAUUACUCAAUAUGACUUUAUUUUAUGGAAUGCAACGAUUCAGAUUUUCAUGGUCACCAAUUCAGUCAAGUUCUCGUGUCAUCUUUUAAACAGUAUUUUAUAGAAAACCAUUUGAAUAAUUCUAUUUAUAUUGCAUACCAACCUUUUCUGAUUAGUAGGUUCUAACCAUUAUUAAGUGUUUCUUUUUUAAGUAUAGACACCUCUUUACCCUCAUCCAUCCAGCUGGCUAGAAUGCUCGGUCCCUUUAUGCAAGGCUGCAUAGGCAAGCUGAACGCUAGCAGUCAUGUAUUUUUUUGUUAAUUAAUGUCUGCAAGCGUCUGGGCCAAACAGAUUGCCCAAGCGACUCAACAGCAUGUACCUGACCAGAGGAGGUGUCUAUCCAUCUUAAAUUCUGGGUAGGCUGAUGGUCUGGUUUUUAUUUUAUUGAUGACUGAAUUCAUGACUGCAUUUUGGCAAAAACCACUGAUGUCACAUUCGAAAUUCACUUUGUUUUUUUUUCUUUUCACUUCCUAGGGGGACUAAGUUGCCAAAUCAUCUGUUUCAUCCUCCUGGGUCCUAACUAGUUUUUUUUAGUACUUCUCAAGUUCUGAUGAUAUUUAAAACUGAAUUACUGAAACACAUGUUUUAUGGUUGUAACUAUAAAACACUUCUUGUAAUUGACUAGUGGAAUGUAAGCCUGAUUUAUAUGGCUACAGUAUUCUGGGAAAAAAAUCUGAUUCUCAACAGUCAACUCUAGCACCAGUCUACUAAGGACUCAUUCCCUUGACCUGCUGAUACGGUUGCUACUUGUCUGAUCCUCUUUUUAGCUCAGGGAUUUCAUGUAGUUGAUGCAUCUAGAUACAUUUGGACCAUGAAUCUUGUGGUUGUGUCACAAGCCCGCAAGGCUAGAUAUCCUGGAUUCUAUUCACCUCUAACCACAGAGCCAUGUUUUCCUCCGAUUUACCGCUCUGCGAUCUAUCUAUGUGUACUCUGUUUUUCAGGACCAAAUAUGUGUAGCCUGUUGAAAUUCCUGAAUAGUAUCAGGAAAACGACCUAGUGCUUGAAAAAAAAUCAGUGUAUAGCUAGCACUGCAUGUACUGAACUGGCAUAAACCUCUCUACAUUUACUCCUUGAGUAACUUUUUAGCUAGGUUCCUUGAUUCAAACUUGCUAUAUGUUAUUCCACGGAUAGUCAAUCUAAACCAAUUUAAUGUUUCCAGAGCAUGUUAUGUGUUAUGUACCAUGAUGUUGCUCAUGUUUUGUGUAACCUCUCUAGUUUCUAUGAUCUGUUCACUGAACUUGAUGACUACUGUACUCAGGUUAUUCUGGCUCCUCGACUCCUGGUCAUUCAGAUGGUGAUUCUUCUAACAGAACGGUAUAUGUUGGUGGGCUUGACCCCAAUGUCAGUGAAGAUGAACUGAGAAAAGCCUUUGCCAAAUAUGAUCUUGCCUCUGUGAAAAUUCCUCUAGGAAAGCAAUUGCUUUGUUCAAUUUGUUAGCAGAACUGAUGCUGAAGAAGCACUACAAGGAUUAAAUGGAUCACUCAUUGGAAAGCAGGCAGUUCGCCUUUCAUGGGUCCGCAGCCCAUCGCAUAAGCAGUCUAGGGGUGACUCCGUCAACAGGAGGAACAACAUGUACUAUGGCACACCAUUCUACGGCGGAUAUGGCUAUGCCUCCCCGGUGCCACACCCAAACAUGUACGCUGCAGCGUAUGGCACGUACCCGCUAUAUGGCAACCAGCAGCUAGUGAGCUAGAGAGCUCCCCUCCGACGUGUCCCCUCUGACGGGAAACAAAGGUUUUGGUCCGGUGAGCAUAGUAGCGUCAGGUGAGAAGGUGCCUUUAUAAGGCUGUCCUAAGAAGUGGGCGAGAUAUGUUGUUGCAUCGUUAUCGUUAUGGUGCCUGUAACUGUUGUGUGUGCCGUGUGCGUCCGGAAGAAUUGGAUGGAAUGGAACUCGUGGCUUGUUGUAGUACAUCAGAGAGUCAUGUUAUUCUUUCAAGAAAUUUUGACUUGGUAAUAAAUUAAACUAUUGUUUGUGCGUCCA